RNAcentral lists this ribosomal RNA (254 nucleotides) under uncultured bacterium. RNAcentral describes it as "partial 16S ribosomal RNA". It matches the Rfam family "Bacterial small subunit ribosomal RNA", at positions 107 to 353 of the family's 1533-position model. The record is from RNAcentral.
UGAGUAAUACAUAAGUAACCUGCCCUAGACAGGGGGAUAACUAUUGGAAACGAUAGCUAAGACCGCAUAGGUACGGACACUGCAUGGUGACCGUAUUAAAAGUGCCUCAAAGCACUGGUAGAGGAUGGACUUAUGGCGCAUUAGCUGGUUGGCGGGGUAACGGCCCACCAAGGCGACGAUGCGUAGCCGACCUGAGAGGGUGACCGGCCACACUGGGACUGAGACACGGCCCAGACUCCUACGGAGGCAGCAUG